RNAcentral lists this ribosomal RNA (446 nucleotides) under uncultured bacterium. Its description in RNAcentral is "partial 16S ribosomal RNA". It matches the Rfam family "Bacterial small subunit ribosomal RNA", at positions 338 to 795 of the family's 1533-position model. The record is from RNAcentral.
CCUACGGGAGGCAGCAGUCGAGAAUUAUUCACAAUGGGGGAAACCCUGAUGGUGCGACGCCGCGUGGGGGAAUGAAGGUCUUCGGAUUGUAAACCCCUGUCAUGUGGGAGCAAAUUAAAAAGAUAGUACCACAAGAGGAAGAGACGGCUAACUCUGUGCCAGCAGCCGCGGUAAUACAGAGGUCUCAAGCGUUGUUCGGAAUCACUGGGCGUAAAGCGUGCGUAGGCUGUUUCGUAAGUCGUGUGUGAAAGGCGGGGGCUCAACCCGCGGACGGCACAUGAUACUGGGAGACUAGAGUAAUGGAGGGGGAACCGGAAUUCUCGGUGUAGCAGUGAAAUGCGUAGAUAUCGAGAGGAACACUCGUGGCGAAGGCGGGUUCCUGGACAUUAACUGACGCUGAGGCACGAAGGCCAGGGGAGCGAAAGGGAUUAGAUACCCUUGUAGUC